GAAAAAAUGGACGACGUAGACUGGAAUGCACUGCUUCCUGAUAAUAAAGACGUGGACGAACUAUCUGGAAUAUUUACUGAAACAUUCUUAAAUAUCGCGAGGGAGUGCAUUCCCACUUAAUUAGUUACUAUACGUAGUUCUGAUAAACCAUGGUUUAAUGGUGAAUUAAAAAGAGAAAUUCGAAAACGAGACCGUUUUAGAAAAUAUGCCC
RNAcentral lists this long non-coding RNA (211 nucleotides) under Mytilus galloprovincialis (Mediterranean mussel). The record is from RNAcentral. Lineage: Eukaryota; Metazoa; Mollusca; Bivalvia; Mytilida; Mytilidae.